AUCGAACGCUGGCGGCAUGCCUAACACAUGCAAGUCGAACGAGUGGCGGACGGGUGAGUAAUGUCUGGGAAACCGCCUGAUGGAGGGGGAUCACUACUGGAAACGGUAGCUAAUACCGCAUACCAUCGGAUGUGCCCAGAUGGGAUUAGCUAGUAGGUGGGGUAACGGCUCACCUAGGCGAUGAUCCCUAGCUGGUCUGAGAGGAUGACCGGCCACACUGGAAUGGAGACACGGUCCAGCCGCCUACGGGAGGCAGCAGUGGGGAAUAUUGGACAAGGGGCGCAAGCCUGAUGCAGCCAUGCCGCGUGUAUGAAGAAGGCCUUCGGGUUGUAAAGUACUUUCAGCGGGGAGGCGUUACCCGCAGAAGAAGCACCGGCUAACUCCGUGCCAGCAGCCGCGGUAAUAC
This 406-nucleotide ribosomal RNA is filed under the name uncultured bacterium. RNAcentral describes it as "partial 16S ribosomal RNA". It matches the Rfam family "Bacterial small subunit ribosomal RNA", at positions 30 to 526 of the family's 1533-position model. The record is from RNAcentral.